Molecule: long non-coding RNA, 531 nt
Filed under: Equus caballus (horse)
Lineage: Eukaryota; Metazoa; Chordata; Mammalia; Perissodactyla; Equidae
Description: lncRNA (ENSECAG00000048384.1)
Source: RNAcentral
AGGGAUGUCACUAAAUGCAAUAAGAAUAUCUUCAUAGAAAUCAUCUAUUGUGUCUUGGUUGUACCUGUGAUAGCAUUGGAGUAACAUUUUUUCCCUCCUCUCAGUUGCCUUUUUCUUGGAUAAUGAAGCAACAAUAAUGUAAUUAGAUUCUGAGUCUUCGGCGAUGGUGAUGGCGGCAUCGGUUAAUUCCACUGUGGGCCAAGAAUUUACUCUGUGUGAUUACACUGAAAGAGUUGGCAUGCCAUUUCUAAAAGGAUCUGACGCUUGACCCAGAUUCUUGAGAUAAUUAUCUACAAUACAGCUUUGUUGAUCAAGUACCAAAUUUUACCAGUCCAUGAACAUAUUCAGGAAGACCACCGCCCUUCAAGAGCCCCCCAGUAUAUAGUUGUAUGUUCUUCGUUGUGGGUCCUUCUAGUUGUGGCAUGUGGGAUGCUGCCUCAGCGUGUUCUGAUGAGCAGUGCCAUGUCCGCGCCCAGGAUUCGAACCAGCAAAACCCUGAACCGCCUGCAGUGGAGCACGCGAACUUAACCA